This 491-nucleotide ribosomal RNA is filed under the name uncultured bacterium. RNAcentral describes it as "partial 16S ribosomal RNA". It matches the Rfam family "Bacterial small subunit ribosomal RNA", at positions 28 to 507 of the family's 1533-position model. The record is from RNAcentral.
GAUGAACGCUGGCUACAGGCUUAACACAUGCAAGUCGAGCGGAAACGCCGGGGCAGCUUGCUUCCCCGGGCGUCGACCGGCGCACGGGUGAGUAACGCGUAUUCAACCUGCCUCUGACUGAGGGAUAACCCGUCGAAAGUCGGCCUAAUACCUCAUUGCAUCGUCUGCCGGCAUCCGACGACGAUUAAAGUUUUCAUCGGUCAGAGGUGGGGAUGCGUCUGUUUAGCUUGUUGGCGGGGUAACGGCCCACCCAGGCGACGAUCGGGCGGGGUUCUGAGGGGAAGGUCCCCCACAGUGGAACUGAGACACGGUACACACUCAUACGGGAGGGAGCAGUGAGGAAUAUUAGUCAGUGGGCGAGAGCCUGACCCAGACAAGUAGCGUGCAGGAGGACCGCCCUAGGUGUUAUAAACUGCUGUUAUGCGGGGAUGAAGUGAGGGAUUGGUCCUUGAUUGAAGGUAGCGGAUGAAGAAGGGCCGGCUAAUUCCGUG